GGGUGAGUAACACGUGGAUAACCUACCUAUAAGACUGGGAUAACUUCGGGAAACCGGAGCUAAUACCGGAUAAUAUAUUGAACCGCAUGGUUCAAUAGUGAAAGACGGUUUUGCUGUCACUUAUAGAUGGAUCCGCGCCGCAUUAGCUAGUUGGUAAGGUAACGGCUUACCAAGGCAACGAUGCGUAGCCGACCUGAGAGGGUGAUCGGCCACACUGGAACUGAGACACGGUCCAA
Molecule: ribosomal RNA, 236 nt
Filed under: uncultured Staphylococcus sp.
Lineage: Bacteria; Bacillati; Bacillota; Bacilli; Caryophanales; Staphylococcaceae
Description: partial 16S ribosomal RNA
Rfam family: Bacterial small subunit ribosomal RNA
Source: RNAcentral